Molecule: ribosomal RNA, 639 nt
Filed under: uncultured fungus
Lineage: Eukaryota; Fungi
Description: eukaryotic LSU rRNA
Rfam family: 5.8S ribosomal RNA (bases 220-373)
Source: RNAcentral
UCCGUAGGUGAACCUGCGGAAGGAUCAUUAAUUUCGGUAGGCAACUAUCGUUUGAGGGCAGCAGAAAUUCUUUGGGUGUCCCCCAAAGGAAAGUAUGCUGCUUUUCUUAACCCUUUGACUUUUUGCAAACCCAAGUUUCCUCGGCAGGCUUGCCUGCCGGCUGGACAAUCUAUAACCCUUUUAAUUCUCAAUCAGCGUCUGAAUAAUUAUAAUAAUUACAACUUUCAACAACGGAUCUCUUGGUUCUGGCAUCGAUGAAGAACGCAGCGAAAUGCGAUAAGUAGUGUGAAUUGCAGAAUUCAGUGAAUCAUCGAAUCUUUGAACGCACAUUGCACUCCUUGGUAUUCCGAGGAGUAUGCUUGCUUGAGUGUCCGUUUAUAAAAUAUCGCGAUUGAAUAUUUGACAUUCGUGGAUUUGGGACAUCCGAUUCUAACUAUUGGAUUUGGAGACCUUAAAAUUAAAAAUCAUUUGGUAUGAUCAAAACGGGCUAUUAUAUAAAGUAGAUCGUUGACAAUCUCACCAGAAUUUUUACAAUCGAGUUUGGACCUCAAGUCAAGUAAGGAUACCCGCUGAACUUAAGCAUAUCAAUAAGCGGAGGGAAGUCGGACUGGCCAAGGGGCACACCAGGGGGGGGGGAUA